Long non-coding RNA from Gadus chalcogrammus (walleye pollock), 281 nucleotides. RefSeq lists it as uncharacterized. The record is from RefSeq and is a predicted model, not a curated record. Lineage: Eukaryota; Metazoa; Chordata; Actinopteri; Gadiformes; Gadidae. The transcript has 3 exons.
CACUCCGGACAGCCAGCUGGACGAGUCCACGUCGCCCGCCGACACCACCGAAGACGACCCCCUCCCGCUGAGGCCCUGGGGCCGCAGCCAAUCACUGCCGGCGUACGCUGACUUCAUCAUGAGGACCAGCAGUUCUUCCUUCAAUAACAACCUGACAGGGACCAGAGAGGAAGUGGCUGAGAGUUCUCUGGAGGCCCCAAAGACGGAGGGAGCUGAGGGCGGGCCUGAACCGACCCAGAGGAGCACGGACGCGGAGAGGAAGACUGACAACGAGGAGGAAG